GGCAUGUGGAGUGAUUUGGACAAGAACAGAUUUUCUUGAUAAGGAAUGUUUUGAAAUCCAAUUUUAAAAUCUUUCUUUUAUCAAAACCAAAUCAGAUUUGGAUGUGAUAAAGGAAGGGAGAAGACUUCUUUGGCAUGAAAAAAUCUCACACAAAAAUUUCUUGAGCGUGGAGAAAGUUGGCAUCAAAGUGGGAGGCGCA
Molecule: long non-coding RNA, 199 nt
Filed under: Elaeis guineensis (African oil palm)
Lineage: Eukaryota; Viridiplantae; Streptophyta; Magnoliopsida; Arecales; Arecaceae
Description: long non-coding RNA (EGUI_LNC042093)
Source: RNAcentral